UACGUAGGGGGCUAGCGUUGUUCGGAAUUACUGGGCGUAAAGCGCACGUAGGCGGAUUUGUAAGUCAGGGGUGAAAUCCCGGGGCUCAACCUCGGAACUGCCUUUGAUACUGCAAGUCUUGAGUCCGGAAGAGGUGAGUGGAAUUCCUAGUGUAGAGGUGAAAUUCGUAGAUAUUAGGAAGAACACCAGUGGCGAAGGCGGCUCACUGGUCCGGUACUGACGCUGAGGUGCGAAAGCGUGGGGAGCAAACAGG
Molecule: ribosomal RNA, 253 nt
Filed under: uncultured bacterium
Lineage: Bacteria
Description: partial 16S ribosomal RNA
Rfam family: Bacterial small subunit ribosomal RNA
Source: RNAcentral